GACAUACUGGUCGAAAUUCAGUUGAUGCACGUCUAUCGUCAAUUCGGAUAGUAUUUUUUUCUGGUUAGAGAAAAAUUGUAUAAUAAAAGAAAUUUUCCUUGAUUUUGAAAUAGCUUGGUUUAUGAGAGUAAAGAUUUCAAUUGCGUAAUAUGGGUAGGAAGAAGAUUCAGAUUACUCGUAUCGGCGAUGAGAGGAAUCGACAGGUAACAUUUACCAAAAGAAAGUUUGGUUUGAUGAAGAAAGCUUACGAGCUAUCGGUGUUAUGCGAUUGCGAAAUAGCUUUAAUUAUAUUCAACUCUGCUAACAAACUAUUUCAAUAUGCUUCAACGGAUAUGGAUAAAGUUUUACUGAAAUAUACAGAGUACAAUGAACCUCAUGAAUCGAGAACGAAUAAGGAUAUAAUAGACGUUUUAAAUAAGAAGGAAAACAAGGGAUGCGAUAGUCCAGAUAGUGUAGAUGGAUCUGGUGGAUAUUCCUUAAAUUCUCGAUCAGAUUCGGAUUAUACUAAGAUUAAUCAGGAGUUCCAAUCGAUGCUGGAAAGAAAUAGAAUGCAGCAACAGCAACCACAACAGUACCAACUCCCAGUUCACACGCAAAAUCAACAACACUUUUCCUCACCCUCCCCCAAUUUACUACAUCCGACGCAAUCGGCUACGCUGGUGCCACCUACUGGCAUGUCAUCAAGACCUUCAUCAGCCGGUUCAGCAUGCGCAAUUACAGAUUUAUCGAUGAAUGGCUAUCAGACGUCUACGUCGCCACAUCCUGGACAACCGCCUUCUCCGCAUCAUUUGAAAAAGUCCCCAAAACAACAACCUCCAAAUCAACCGCAGCAAAGAGCUCCAUCGGGGAAUUCGCUUAGAGUUCAUAUACCUCAGAGUAGCGAGAAUCGGACUUCGAUAUCCGCGGCACAAACUCUUUCGACGCCCAUAGUGUCUUUAGCGACUCCCAGCGUGCCUGCAAGUAAUUAUCCGCAGUCGGCCAUCUCAUCCGCGUUUCCGUCAGAUUUUAGCGGAGAUAUGCAGAUAACGGGCUUCCAGUCUCCUGCGGUAAUGAACCACUGGUCGCAGCAAUCGAUUCACACAUCGGCUAGCUUACGAUCUCAAGACGAUGGUGGGCAGGGACAAUUGACAAGCAUGGCUCCUCAACGUAACGGAAUGCUAAUCAAAUCCGAACCCGAUUCCCCUCCGGGUCAAGCAGACACAGGCCAAUGCUUGCGGCCGCCAUCCACUUCCGGUCACGUAUCGCCGCAUUUGCACACGGUUACCGAAAGUUCUUCACCCGUACCUCAGCAACUUAACGACUAUGACAGUGGACCCUCCUUGAAACGAGCCCGGAUAGAGACGACACCAUGGAAUACGGCCACUUAAACCCAGAAACCUAAACCUAUUCUUUUUUCAAAAAAACAUAACAUUCCCUUCGUCUGCUGUCUAGUUCGUCUCUUUUGUUAAGAAAUGUGCUUGUCUUUUUAUGUAUUACGCUUGUAAAUAUCAAUUACUACUCGUAUAACGUUUAUAAAGUUGAAAGCUUGUUUUGCGCAACGCGCAGUGACUGCAUUUUUACGCUGUUUCUACUACACAGAUACGAAACGGGGACAUAGGCACGACCGUGUUGUCAGCAUUGCAUACGUCUGAACAUUAUAUUCAAUGUAUAGAUAUUGUUGCGGUGAAAAGUAACAAAAAAUAUAUCCACGUUUGUGUAAUAAAUGGUUCUUGUCUAUUUCUAUUUACAAAAAAUGUUUUCUUUUUUCUAAUUCAUAAAAAAUUUUCGAAAAAAAUAAUUCGAGUUUCUAUUUUUUCUUAUACAUAACCAAAUAUCUUUUUAAUGUGUAUACAUAUAGUAUUUAUAUAUAUACUAUAUACUGUACAGUACAGUUCUUUUUCAUAACUUUCCUUUAUUAUAGGAGUUUUUGUUGGUAGCUCAUUUUGUUUAUUAAAUGAUGUUUUACAGUUUUUUUUGUUUGUGUUUAAUUAUAAACAUCUUACUUAUAAAUAUAGAUCUAUAUUUAAAACUUUCACUAUAUAUAUUUAUAUAAGUAUAUAU
This 2040-nucleotide unclassified non-coding RNA is filed under the name Dimorphilus gyrociliatus. RNAcentral describes it as "mADS-box domain-containing protein". Lineage: Eukaryota; Metazoa; Annelida; Polychaeta; Dinophilidae. The record is from RNAcentral.